CACGGUUGAUAUUUGGUAAAGGAUCCAUUAGAAGUAUCUGAGUUCUAACUGUGUUGUAGGAGUCGUUUAAACCUUCUAAAAAGCAUAUCACAUGCUCAGCUUCUCUGUAUUUCAAGGAAAUUCGUGAAAGAUCACAGCUGCAGGGGAUCUCACAUGUGCAGCUGGGUAUGGGCCUUAAAGAUUCAAGUUCUUCCCACAGGAUUUUUAAAUCUGUGAAGAACUGACUUACCCCC
This 233-nucleotide long non-coding RNA is filed under the name Vigna radiata. RNAcentral's name for it is "long non-coding RNA (VRAD_LNC010455)". The record is from RNAcentral. Lineage: Eukaryota; Viridiplantae; Streptophyta; Magnoliopsida; Fabales; Fabaceae.